RNAcentral lists this long non-coding RNA (2498 nucleotides) under Ananas comosus (pineapple). RNAcentral describes it as "long non-coding RNA (ACOM_LNC033962)". The record is from RNAcentral. Lineage: Eukaryota; Viridiplantae; Streptophyta; Magnoliopsida; Poales; Bromeliaceae.
UUUUAAAAAAAAAACUUUUUCUCUAGUUUUUUUAUUUUAUUAGUAAAACCGAAUGCUUCAUUUGGGAUUGCAGAGAGAUUGUUUUACGUAUGGUGAGAAAGUACGAUGAAAAAAUAUUCUGUUUGUUUCGGUACGUAAUAUUGUAUUCUGCAUACCGCAACGAGUCGGUUAUGAUAUAUUUUCUGCGGUCCCGCAGGAGAACGCAGAACCUUAUCCCUAUAUACUUUUAUCCCGACUUUAUUUUAUCUAAUAAUGUUAGAUAGACAUCAAUACCAAAUCAACCCUUAAUAAGAAAUUCUACCACCUUCUUUACUUAUUUUGCUGAAACUUAGUUAUAUUACAUGCAUUUUUCACAUAAUAAAUAUUUUAUUUUAGCAUAAAUGAUCAAAGUUUAGUGCAUUCUUAAUAUAUAGAUAAUUAAACUUUAGGCCAAUAAUUAUAGUUAGAUAAUAUUUUGUUUUUGGGUGUAGUCAAAGUGAAAACAACGUAUAAUUUUUUUAUUUCUAUAUAUAUAUAUAUUCUCUUAUGAGGAACUAGACUGGAAUGCUAUCAAUAACACCAAGCUAUCGGUAUUAUUAAUUUUUUAGCCCUUGGAUUCAGAAAUGUGCAAUUAGGAUGAUAUGGACCCAUUAGGGUUGAGUGGGUGGUUGAUUGAAUAGGAUAAUCUAAUGAAUAAAAAUGAUCAAAGGGUUAAAUCUAACGGUGGAAAACUCGAUAGCAUCAAGCCCUUAGUGCUAUCGAUAGUAUCCCAGCUGAACUCAUCUUAUGAGUAUACUCUUACGAGUAUAGACUUUUUUGUACUUAUAAGUAUUCCAAGCUGUAUAGACUCUUAUGAGUAUAGAUUUCUUUGUACUUAUAAGGAUACUCCUUUUAUGAGUAUCCCAGCUGGACUCCUCUUAUGAGUAUACUCUUACGACUAUAAACUUUUUUGUACUUAUAAAUUUUCUGCCGUUAGAUUUACCUUUUUAAUCAUUUUCACCCGUUAGAUCAUACUAUUUAACUAACCACCCAUUCAACCUUAGGAGACCAUUAUCAUCUUACUUGAAAAUCAUUAUAAUUCUAAACGCACGCCUUUAUUUAAUUGCUAAAAAUUUAUGAGUACAAAAAAAUCUAUACUCAUAAGAGUAGAGUAGUCCUAUCCUCUAUAUAUAUAUAUAUAUAUAACUUAAAAAAAAAAUCGAGGGAUAAAUUCGUCAUUUGACAGGACUUUUUUUAUAAACUAACUCUCUAAAAUUUUAAAAAUUGUGAAAUAAUCCUUCAAAAAUUAUAUUUGUAAAACUAACUCUCCUUUCGCUACGUAGGCAGAGGAAAAUUUUUUAUUAUAAAGGUGGUGAAUCGUUCACCGUCUUCAGUAAGACAGUGAAUUAACGAUUCAUCAUCUUACUAAUAUAAUUAGUAAAGACGGUAAAUGGUUCACCGUCUUUUGCUUAUUUAAUAUUUUUUCUUAUAUCCCAUAUAUAAUCUUAACAACAACAUAAAAAUUAUAACAAAUCACAUAUAAUUUUAACAACCUAAAAAUUCUAAUAAUCUAUCCAUACAAUUCUAACAAUUAAAUAAAAAUUUUAAUAAUCCUCAUAUAAUUCUAAAAAUCUCACUUUUUUCUAUCUCCCAUCUAACAGCCUCACAUUUUUAUGUACGUGGAUUAUAUGGAAAAUAGAAAAAAGUUAGAAGAAAAAUAGAAAAAAGUGAGUUUGUUAGGAUUAUACGUGGAUUAUAUGGAAAAUAAAAAAAAAGUGAGGUUGUUUGAUGAAAAAUAGGAAAAAGUGAGGUUUUUAGUAUGCGUAUUAAAAUUUGUAUUUGAUUGUUAGAAUUAUAUGGAUAGAUUAUUAGGAUUUUCAGGUUGUUAAGAUUAUAUGUGAUUUGUUAUAGUUUUUACGUGGUUGUUAAGAUUAUAUGUGAUUUGUUAUAGUUUUUAUGUGGUUGUUAAGAUUAUAUAUGGGAUAUAAAAAAAAUAUUAAAUAAGCAAAAGACGGUGAAUCAUUCACCGUCUUUACUAAUUAUAUUAGUGCUGAAGGUGGUGAACGAUUCACCGCUUUUAUAAAAAAAAUUCAUUAGUACUGAAGGCGGUAAAUCGUUCACCGCCUUUUUCUAAAAAAAAUCUAUUCUUACGCCUACGUGGCAAAAUGAAGGUUAGUUUUACAAAUAUAAUUUUAAAAAGAUCAUUUCGCAAAUUUUAAAAUUCUAGGCCACCGUUUGUUUCGAGGUUAAGUAAAAACUUGUUAUUUCAGGAAUAGAAUUAAGUUCAGGGUUAAGAUGGGGUUAGAGUAAUUUUGUGUUUGGUUGAGAAUUGGGUUUAGUUCAGGUAUAAAUAAAAUAGUGUUUGGUUGGAGUAGGUGGGAUAAGGAGGGUAGUAGGUAAAAUAAUAUUUUGUUUGGUUAUAGUAGUAGGAUGGGAUGAGGUAAUUCCAUCCCUAAAUUAGAUGUUUGGAAAUAACUUCGAAGUUAAAGGGUUAUUCCAUCCGUUAAUCCUGAACUAAACGGGUGCUAGAGGAUUAAUUU